Trichechus manatus latirostris (Florida manatee) is the source of this 83-nucleotide small nucleolar RNA. RefSeq annotates it as small nucleolar RNA SNORD116. NCBI's taxonomy places the organism in Eukaryota, Metazoa, Chordata, Mammalia, Sirenia, Trichechidae. The record is from RefSeq and is a predicted model, not a curated record. The transcript has a single exon.
GAAUCAAUGAUGACUAAAAUAAUGGAUCUCAUUGGAAUCUGAACAAAAUGAGUGACAAACUCACUUCUGUGAAACUAGGGUCC